UUGCGGGCAGGCACCUCCCCUCCAUCACAGGUGGAGCAGCAGUAUGGGGUCGAUUCCACUCGCACGUCCUUUCCGCCCUCCAUCUCACACAGCCAGGCUGGAGGAAUCAACAAUCACCUCGCAACUUCCUCAUACUGACCAGCCAAUCACGGGCUCCCUCUGCGCCGACGUCAUAUUGGACUACCUCUCCAGGCUGCAGCACCACAGAUGUCUGCCCAGUAGAGGGCAGUAAACGUCAAGGAUUAUUACCAAAGCAUGUACAUUAGAAGGGACUCGGAUCAUCCUUCGGUGAACCAGGGAUCAUCAAGUGUGAGAAUAUACCAACUCCAGUCUUUUGCUCCGUAUGGUGCCUACCUGCACGGUCGGCCUUCAAAGUGUCCCAGACGUUGCAGUUGAAAUCGUCAUAGCCAGCCAGCAGUAGGCGGCCACUCU
Pelmatolapia mariae (spotted tilapia) is the source of this 432-nucleotide long non-coding RNA. RefSeq lists it as uncharacterized. The record is from RefSeq and is a predicted model, not a curated record. The transcript is spliced from 4 exons. NCBI's taxonomy places the organism in Eukaryota, Metazoa, Chordata, Actinopteri, Cichliformes, Cichlidae.